ACGCUCGACACCUACGGCAGGCAGCAGUGGGGAAUAUUGCACAAUGGGGGAAACCCUGAUGCAGCGACGCCGCGUGAGCGAAGAAGUAUUUCGGUAUGUAAAGCUCUAUCAGCAGGGAAGAAAAUGACGGUACCUGACUAAGAAGCCCCGGCUAACUACGUGCAGCAGCCGCGGUAAUCUGAGCGGGCUGGCAAGGC
RNAcentral lists this ribosomal RNA (197 nucleotides) under uncultured bacterium. RNAcentral's name for it is "partial 16S ribosomal RNA". It matches the Rfam family "Bacterial small subunit ribosomal RNA", at positions 326 to 539 of the family's 1533-position model. The record is from RNAcentral.